ACGCUCGACACCUACGGGGGCAGCAGUAGGGAAUCUUCCGCAAUGGACGAAAGUCUGACGGAGCAACGCCGCGUGAACGAUGAAGGUUUUCGGAUCGUAAAGUUCUGUUGUUAGGGAAGAACAAACUUCGUUUGAAUAAGGCGGAGUCAUGACGGUACCUAACGAGAAAGCCACGGCUAACUACGUGCCAACAGCCGCGGUAAUCUGAGCGGGCGUGGCAAGGC
Molecule: ribosomal RNA, 224 nt
Filed under: uncultured bacterium
Lineage: Bacteria
Description: partial 16S ribosomal RNA
Rfam family: Bacterial small subunit ribosomal RNA
Source: RNAcentral